UGGCUUAGAAGCAGCCAUCCUUUAAAGAAAGCGUAAUAGCUCACUGGUCUAGUGAUUUUGCGCGGAAAAUAUAACGGGGCUAAAGUAAGUACCGAAGCUGUAGACUUGCACACAACUUAGAUUAUUUAAGUUUAGAAUAAGUAGUUUAAGUUGUGUGCAAGUGGUAGGAGAGCGUUCUAUUUGCGUCGAAGGUAUACCGGUAAGGAGUGCUGGAGCGAAUAGAAGUGAGCAUGCAGGCAUGAGUAGCGAUAAUUAAUGUGAGAAUCAUUAACGCCGUAAACCCAAGGUUUCCUACGCGAUGCUCGUCAUCGUAGGGUUAGUCGGGUCCUAAGUCGAGUCCGAAAGGGGUAGACGAUGGCAAAUUGGUUAAUAUUCCAAUACCAACAUUAGUGUGCGAUGGAAGGACGCUUAGGGCUAAGGGGGCUAGCGGAUGGAAGUGCUAGUCUAAGGUCGUAGGAGGUUAUACAGGCAAAUCCGUAUAACAAUACUCCGAGAACUGAAAGGCUUUUUGAAGUCUUCGGAUGGAUAGAAGAACCCCUGAUGCCGUCGAGCCAAGAAAAGUUUCUAAGUUUAGCUAAUGUUGCCCGUACCGUAAACCGACACAGGUGGGUGGGAUGAGUAUUCUAAGGCGCGUGGAAGAACUCUCUUUAAGGAACUCUGCAAAAUAGCACCGUAUCUUCGGUAUAAGGUGUGGUUAGCUUCGUACUAGGAUUUACUCCGAAAGCGAAGAAACUUACAACAAAGAGUCCCUCCCGACUGUUUACCAAAAACACAGCACUCUGCUAACUCGUAAGAGGAUGUAUAGGGUGUGACGCCUGCCCGGUGCUCGAAGGUUAAUUGAUGGGGUUAGCAUUAGCGAAGCUCUUGAUCGAAGCCCGAGUAAACGGCGGCCGUAACUAUAACGGUCCUAAGGUAGCGAAAUUCCUUGUCGGUUAAAUACCGACCUGCAUGAAUGGCGUAACGAGAUGGGAGCUGUCUCAAAGAGGGAUCCAGUGAAAUUGUAGUGGAGGUGAAAAUUCCUCCUACCCGCGGCAAGACGGAAAGACCCCGUGGACCUUUACUACAGCUUGACACUGCUACUUGGAUAAGAAUGUGCAGGAUAGGUGGGAGGCUUUGAGUAUAUGACGCCAGUUGUAUAUGAGCCAUUGUUGAGAUACCACUCUUUCUUAUUUGGGUAGCUAACCAGCUUGAGUUAUCCUCAAGUGGGACAAUGUCUGGUGGGUAGUUUGACUGGGGCGGUCGCCUCCCAAAUAAUAACGGAGGCUUACAAAGGUUGGCUCAGAACGGUUGGAAAUCGUUCGUAGAGUAUAAAGGUAUAAGCCAGCUUAACUGCAAGACAUACAAGUCAAGCAGAGACGAAAGUCGGUCUUAGUGAUCCGGUGGUUCUGUGUGGAAGGGCCAUCGCUCAAAGGAUAAAAGGUACCCCGGGGAUAACAGGCUGAUCUCCCCCAAGAGCUCACAUCGACGGGGAGGUUUGGCACCUCGAUGUCGGCUCAUCGCAUCCUGGGGCUGGAGCAGGUCCCAAGGGUAUGGCUGUUCGCCAUUUAAAGCGGUACGCGAGCUGGGUUCAGAACGUCGUGAGACAGUUCGGUCCCUAUCUGCCGUGGGCGUAAGAAGAUUGAAGAGAUUUGACCCUAGUACGAGAGGACCGGGUUGAACAAACCACUGGUGUAGCUGUUGUUCUGCCAAGAGCAUCGCAGCGUAGCUAAGUUUGGAAAGGAUAAACGCUGAAAGCAUCUAAGCGUGAAGCCAACUCUAAGAUGAAUCUUCUCUAAGCUCUCUAGAAGACUACUAGUUUGAUAGGCUGGGUGUGUAAUGGAUGAAAGUCCUUUAGCUGACCAGUACUAAUAGAGCGUUUGGCUUAUCUUUAAUAAAGCAU
This 1879-nucleotide ribosomal RNA is filed under the name Campylobacter jejuni. RNAcentral describes it as "partial 23S ribosomal RNA". It matches the Rfam family "Bacterial large subunit ribosomal RNA", at positions 1102 to 2925 of the family's 2925-position model. Lineage: Bacteria; Pseudomonadati; Campylobacterota; Epsilonproteobacteria; Campylobacterales; Campylobacteraceae. The record is from RNAcentral.